Molecule: ribosomal RNA, 327 nt
Filed under: uncultured eukaryote
Lineage: Eukaryota
Description: partial 18S ribosomal RNA
Rfam family: Eukaryotic small subunit ribosomal RNA
Source: RNAcentral
CCCUUAGAUGUUCUGGGCCGCACACGCGCUACACUGAAGGAGGCAGCGUGUACUCCUGGAUCGAAAGAUUUGGGUAACCCGCGAAUCUCCUUCGUGCUAGGGAUUGAGGUUUGCAAUUAUCCUUCAUGAACGAGGAAUUCCCAGUAAGUGCAAGUCAUAAGCUUGCGCUGACUACGUCCCUGCCCUUUGUACACACCGCCCGUCGCUACUACCGAGUGAAUGAUUUAGUGAGGACUUCGGACUGGGACCGAUGCGGCUUUCGGGCUGCGUCGGUAUUCUGGAAAGAUGUCCAAACUGUAUCAUUUAGAGGAAGUAAAAGUCGUAACA